AUUGAACGCUGGCGGAAUGCUUUACACAUGCAAGUCGAACGGUAGAGGGGGCAACCCCCUUGAGAGUGGCGAACGGGUGAGUAAUAUAUCGGAACGUGCCCAGUCGUGGGGAUAACGUAGCGAAAGUUACGCUAAUACCGCAUACGAUCUAAGGAUGAAAGCGGGGGACUCGCAAGAGCCUCGCGCGAUUGGAGCGGCCGAUAUCAGAUUAGGUAGUUGGUGGGGGUAAAGGCUCACCAAGCCAACGAUCUGUAGCUGGUCUGAGAGGACGACCAGCCACACUGGAGCUGAGACACGGUCCAGACUCCUACGGGAGGCAGCAGUGGGAAUUUUGGACAAUGGACGCAAGUCUGAUCCAGCCAUUCCGCGUGCAGGAUGAAGGCCCUCGGGUUGUAAACUGCUUUUGUACGGAACGAAAGGUUUCUAUUAAUACUAGGAGCUCAUGACGUACCGUAGAAUAAGCACCGGCUAACUACGUGCCAGCAGCCGCG
RNAcentral lists this ribosomal RNA (491 nucleotides) under uncultured bacterium. RNAcentral describes it as "bacterial SSU rRNA". It matches the Rfam family "Bacterial small subunit ribosomal RNA", at positions 30 to 519 of the family's 1533-position model. The record is from RNAcentral.